AUUGAACGCUGGCGGCAGGCCUAACACAUGCAAGUCGAGCGGUAGAGAGGUGCUUGCAUCUCUUGAGAGCGGCGGACGGGUGAGUAAUGCCUAGGAAUCUGCCCUAGUGGUGGGGGAUAACGUUCGGAAACGGACGCUAAUACCGCAUACGUCCUACGGGAGAAAGCGGGGGAUCUUCGGACCUCGCGCCAUUAGAUGAGCCUAGGUCGGAUUAGCUAGUUGGUGAGGUAAUGGCUCACCAAGGCGACGAUCCGUAACUGGUCUGAGAGGAUGAUCAGUCACACUGGAACUGAGACACGGUCCAGACUCCUACGGGAGGCAGCAGUGGGGAAUAUUGGACAAUGGGCGAAAGCCUGAUCCAGCCAUGCCGCGUGUGUGAAG
This 381-nucleotide ribosomal RNA is filed under the name uncultured bacterium. RNAcentral describes it as "bacterial SSU rRNA". It matches the Rfam family "Bacterial small subunit ribosomal RNA", at positions 30 to 410 of the family's 1533-position model. The record is from RNAcentral.